UCCUACGGGAGGCAGCAGUAAGGAAUAUUGGUCAAUGGGCGGAAGCCUGAACCAGCCAUGCCGCGUGCAGGAUGACUGCGCUAUGGGUUGUAAACUGCUUUUGUCCAGGAAUAAACCUAAAUACGUGUAUUUAGCUGAAUGUACUGGAAGAAUUAGGAUCGGCUAACUCCGUGCCAGCAGCCGCGGUAAUACGGAGAUCCGAGCGUUAUCCGGAUUUA
This 218-nucleotide ribosomal RNA is filed under the name uncultured bacterium. Its description in RNAcentral is "partial 16S ribosomal RNA". It matches the Rfam family "Bacterial small subunit ribosomal RNA", at positions 337 to 553 of the family's 1533-position model. The record is from RNAcentral.